GGUGUUUUCGGGGUGUUUUGCUGCCUAGGGUGAGUAUGGACGAAUUUUCUGCGUGAAUGAUGAAUAUGGGAGGUUCAACCCUUUGCCAAGGGUUGUAAACAUGUAUAUAUAUAGGCCCCAAAAACCCUAGAGAAUCAAAUUAGGCAGUUGGGAAAUGCACAGCAAGGAGGGUGAAUUUGUGGUGUGCAAUGGUCCAAGGAUGAAAAUGAAGCAAUGAUGCAAAGUAUGGAGGGUAAAAUGGAGUGGUAUUUCAGCUAGGGAGCAUGAAUGAUUGUGUUCAUUGCAUGGAAAUGAAAAGGGGAGGUGAAAUGUUUAAGAAAUUAGUUAAAGGUGCAGCAACAUGUGUUGCACAAGGCAUUGGAUCCCAAAUG
RNAcentral lists this long non-coding RNA (371 nucleotides) under Malus domestica (apple). RNAcentral's name for it is "long non-coding RNA (MDOM_LNC019478)". The record is from RNAcentral. Lineage: Eukaryota; Viridiplantae; Streptophyta; Magnoliopsida; Rosales; Rosaceae.